UAUUGCACAAUGGGGGAAACCCUGAUGCAGCGACGCCGCGUGAGUGAGGAAGUAUUUCGGUAUGUAAAGCUCUAUCAGCAGGGAAGAAAAUGACGGUACCUGACUAAGAAGCCUCGGCUAACUACGUGCCAGCAGCCGCGGUAAUACGUAGGGGGCAAGCGUUAUCCGGAUUUACUGGGUGUAAAGGGAGCGUAGACGGAUAAGCAAGUCUGAUGUGAAAAUCCGGGGCCCAACCCCGGAAUUGCAUUGGAAACUGCAUAUCUAGAGUGUCGGAGAGGCAAGUGGAAUUCCUGGUGUAGCGGUGAAAUGCAUAGAUAUUAGGAGGAACACCAGUGGCGAAGGCGGCUUACUGGACUGUAACUGACACUGAGGCUCGAAAGCGUGGGGAGCAAACAGG
This 397-nucleotide ribosomal RNA is filed under the name uncultured bacterium. RNAcentral's name for it is "bacterial SSU rRNA". It matches the Rfam family "Bacterial small subunit ribosomal RNA", at positions 362 to 776 of the family's 1533-position model. The record is from RNAcentral.